This 97-nucleotide signal recognition particle RNA is filed under the name Gammaproteobacteria bacterium. Its description in RNAcentral is "signal recognition particle sRNA small type". It matches the Rfam family "Bacterial small signal recognition particle RNA". Rfam says of the family: The signal recognition particle (SRP) is a universally conserved ribonucleoprotein involved in the co-translational targeting of proteins to membranes. Archaeal SRP consists of a 7S RNA and homologues of the eukaryotic SRP19 and SRP54 proteins. Lineage: Bacteria; Pseudomonadati; Pseudomonadota; Gammaproteobacteria. The record is from RNAcentral.
UGUCGGUCCCCGCGCAAUGCCAGGUUGUAAACCCCGUCAGGCCCGGAAGGGAGCAGCGGUAGCAGCUAAGGCAUGUGCCGUGGUGUGGCUGGCAGGG